AACGAACGCUGGCGGCAUGCCUAACACAUGCAAGUCGAACGAGACCUUCGGGUCUAGUGGCGCACGGGUGCGUAACGCGUGGGAACCUGCCCUUAGGUUCGGAAUAACUCCCUGAAAGGGGUGCUAAUACCGGAUAAUGUCUUCGGACCAAAGAUUUAUCGCCUUUGGAUGGGCCCGCGUUGGAUUAGCUAGUUGGUAGGGUAAAAGCCUACCAAGGCGACGAUCCAUAGCUGGUCUGAGAGGAUGAUCAGCCACACUGGGACUGAGACACGGCCCAGACUCCUACGGGAGGCAGCAGUGGGGAAUAUUGGGCAAUGGGCGAAAGCCUGAUCCAGCAAUGCCGCGUGAGUGAUGAAGGCCUUAGGGUUGUAAAGCUCUUUUACCCGGGAUGAUAAUGACAGUACCGGGAGAAUAAGCUCCGGCUAACUCCGUG
This 433-nucleotide ribosomal RNA is filed under the name uncultured bacterium. RNAcentral describes it as "partial 16S ribosomal RNA". It matches the Rfam family "Bacterial small subunit ribosomal RNA", at positions 29 to 507 of the family's 1533-position model. The record is from RNAcentral.